UACGUAGGGGGCAAGCGUUGUCCGGAAUCAUUGGGCGUAAAGCGCGUGUAGGCGGUUCGGUAAGUCUGCUGUGAAAGUCCAGGGCUCAACCCUGGGAUGCCGGUGGAUACUGUCGGACUAGAGUACGGAAGAGGCGAGUGGAAUUCCCGGUGUAGCGGUGAAAUGCGCAGAUAUCGGGAGGAACACCAAUUGCGAAGGCAGCUCGCUGGGACGUCACUGACGCUGGGACGCGAAAGCGUGGGGAGCAAACAGG
Molecule: ribosomal RNA, 253 nt
Filed under: uncultured bacterium
Lineage: Bacteria
Description: partial 16S ribosomal RNA
Rfam family: Bacterial small subunit ribosomal RNA
Source: RNAcentral